UACGAAGGGGGCUAGCGUUGUUCGGAAUUACUGGGCGUAAAGCGCACGUAGGCGGAUAUUUAAGUCAGGGGUGAAAUCCCGGGGCUCAACCCCGGAACUGCCUUUGAUACUGGGUAUCUCGAGUCCGAGAGAGGUGAGUGGAAUUCCGAGUGUAGAGGUGAAAUUCGUAGAUAUUCGGAGGAACACCAGUGGCGAAGGCGGCUCACUGGCUCGGUACUGACGCUGAGGCGCGAAAGCCAGGGGAGCAAACGGG
RNAcentral lists this ribosomal RNA (253 nucleotides) under uncultured bacterium. Its description in RNAcentral is "partial 16S ribosomal RNA". It matches the Rfam family "Bacterial small subunit ribosomal RNA", at positions 524 to 776 of the family's 1533-position model. The record is from RNAcentral.